ACAUGCAAGUCGAACGAUGAAGCCCAGCUUGCUGGGUGGAUUAGUGGCGAACGGGUGAGUAACACGUGAGUAACCUGCCCUUAACUCUGGGAUAAGCCUGGGAAACUGGGUCUAAUACCGGAUAGGAGCGCCUACCGCAUGGUGGGUGUUGGAAAGAUUUAUCGGUUUUGGAUGGACUCGCGGCCUAUCAGCUUGUUGGUGAGGUAAUGGCUCACCAAGGCGACGACGGGUAGCCGGCCUGAGAGGGUGACCGGCCACACUGGGACUGAGACACGGCCCAGACUCCUACGGGAGGCAGCAGUGGGGAAUAUUGCACAAUGGGCGCAAGCCUGAUGCAGCGACGCCGCGUGAGGGAUGACGGCCUUCGGGUUGUAAACCUCUUUCAGUAGGGAAGAAGCGAAAGUGACGGUACCUGCAGAAGAAGCACCGGCUAACUACGUGCCAGCAGCCGCGGUAAUACGUAGGGUGCGAGCGUUAUCCGGAAUUAUUGGGCGUAAAGAGCUCGUAGGCGGUUUGUCGCGUCUGUCGUGAAAGUCCGGGGCUUAACCCCGGAUCUGCGGUGGGUACGGGCAGACUAGAGUGCAGUAGGGGAGACUGGAAUUCCUGGUGUAGCGGUGGAAUGCGCAGAUAUCAGGAGGAACACCGAUGGCGAAGGCAGGUCUCUGGGCUGUAACUGACGCUGAGGAGCGAAAGCAUGGGGAGCGAACAGGAUUAGAUACCCUGGUAGUCCAUGCCGUAAACGUUGGGCACUAGGUG
RNAcentral lists this ribosomal RNA (756 nucleotides) under Micrococcus luteus. Its description in RNAcentral is "bacterial SSU rRNA". It matches the Rfam family "Bacterial small subunit ribosomal RNA", at positions 53 to 822 of the family's 1533-position model. The record is from RNAcentral. Lineage: Bacteria; Bacillati; Actinomycetota; Actinomycetes; Micrococcales; Micrococcaceae.